UGGGGAAUUUUGGACAAUGGGCGAAAGCCUGAUCCAGCAAUGCCGCGUGUGUGAAGAAGGCCUUCGGGUUGUAAAGCACUUUUGUCCGGAAAGAAAUCCUUGGCUCUAAUACAGUCGGGGGAUGACGGUACCGGAAGAAUAAGCACCGGCUAACUACGUGCCAGCAGCCGCGGUAAUACGUAGGGUGCAAGCGUUAAUCGGAAUUACUGGGCGUAAAGCGUGCGCAGGCGGUUUGCUAAGACCGAUGUGAAAUCCCCGGGCUCAACCUGGGAACUGCAUUGGUGACUGGCAGGCUAGAGUAUGGCAGAGGGGGGUAGAAUUCCACGUGUAGCAGUGAAAUGCGUAGAGAUGUGGAGGAAUACCGAUGGCGAAGGCAGCCCCCUGGGCCAAUACUGACGCUCAUGCACGAAAGCGUGGGGGAGCAAAACAGGAUUAGAUACCCUGGUAGUCCACGCCCUAAACGAUGUCAACUAGUUGUUGGGGAUUCAUUCCUUAGUAACGUAGCUAACGCGUGAAGUUGACCGCCUGGGGAGUACGGUCGCAAGAUUAAAACUCAAAUGAAUUGAC
Molecule: ribosomal RNA, 567 nt
Filed under: uncultured bacterium
Lineage: Bacteria
Description: partial 16S ribosomal RNA
Rfam family: Bacterial small subunit ribosomal RNA
Source: RNAcentral